Molecule: non-coding RNA, 587 nt
Filed under: Mus musculus (house mouse)
Lineage: Eukaryota; Metazoa; Chordata; Mammalia; Rodentia; Muridae
Source: RNAcentral
GGGGAAUGGGGAGCCCAAGGCAAAAGCAGACAAUUUCCUGGCAAGCAUUCUGUAGGAGGCUAACACAGGCCGACUAAGCCAGUCCUGACGAUGAUCCCAGCAAUACCAACACAUGGGAGGCUGAGGCAGGAGAAUCACAAAUUUGAGGCCAGCCUGGGUUACAUAGUGAGUUUCAGAGCAGCCUCAGUUAUAUAACAAGACCCAAGCACAAGUAAACAAACAAACAAACGGCUAGGUCAGCGGUUCUCAACCUACAGAUCUCAACCCCUUUACGGAGAAAUGACCUUUUCACGGGGAUUACAUAAAACCAUCGGAAAACACGGCUAUUUCUGUUACAAUUCAUAACCGUAACAAAAUUACAGUUACGAAGUAGUAACAAAAAUAAUUUUAUGGUGGGUGGUCCACCCAACCGGAGGAACUGUAUUAACGGUCACAGCAACAGGAAGGUUGAGAACCACUGCUGUUAGCAGGUGAUUGGCAUAGUGUAGUCUGGGGGGGACUUCCUGGAGAGUCCUUCUGCUCAAUCUAUGGGUUUGUAGCCCUUAAUGGCAGGAUGCCGGGGCAAACCAAAGCUUGGAACAAUUGUG